This is an RNA transcript of Ananas comosus (pineapple), 1995 nucleotides long. It is a transcript of the gene named binding partner of ACD11 1-like, with no coding region annotated. NCBI's taxonomy places the organism in Eukaryota, Viridiplantae, Streptophyta, Magnoliopsida, Poales, Bromeliaceae. The record is from RefSeq and is a predicted model, not a curated record. The transcript has 9 exons.
UUCGAGCUUUAGUUUUCCGCCAAAUAAAACGCGCUGCGGAGCAGCCGAGACCGAGAGUGACGGCGAUUGAAAUCCAACACCUGAAAAAAAAAACUACUUUUGUUUAUUUGUGCUUCCCCCCUGCUUUUUGAUUCUCUAUAUGGAGCUAAGAACGGUUCGAGUGGGGAACAUCUCAGAUCUGGCCGGGGAGAGGGAGAUUCGAGAGUUCUUCUCCUUCUCCGGCGACAUCGAGUAUGUUGAGAUCCAAAGUGGUGAUGUGGGAAAUGGGAGGACUGCUUAUGUUACAUUUAGAGAUCCGAAAGCACUUGAGAUCGCAUUGCUGCUGUCGGGAGCUACAAUUGUUGACCGGAUAGUGACCAUAACUCCUGCCGAGAAUUACAUUUAUAUCCCUAUCGUUGAGGGGCGUUCUAUGGUAAAUGAGGUGACGAGCUCAACUUCUACCGGAAAUUUUGUACCGACUGUUGAGGUUGAGACGAGUCCCAGCGGUGGCCGGAUUUAUGUCAGUAAAGCCCAUGAUGUCGUGACAAGCAUGCUAGCAAGGGGUUCAGCAAUUGGACAAGACGCUGUGAAUAGAGCCAAAGCAUUUGACGAGAAGCAUCGAUGGACGGCUAGUGCAUCAGCAAAGGUUACAUCUUUCGAUAGGAGGGUUGGCCUUUCAGAGAAAAUCUCUGUUGGAAUAUCAGUCGUUAAUGAGAAAGUGAAAUCUGUGGAUCAAAGGUUACAUGUUUCUGACAAAACGAUCGUUGCCAUAACAGUAGCAGAGCGCAAGCUAAAUGACACAGGCACUGCUGUGAAAACUAACAGGUAUGUAACUGCUGGAACUACUUGGCUUAAUGGAACUUUUCGCAAAGUGGCAAAGGCUAGCCAUGCUGCAAGCACAAAAACAAGAGAGAAGUUUCAAUUGGCAGUGUCCAAUCUAACAGCAAAGGAUCCAGCUGUUGCUGCAUAAGAUAGUAUUAUCGUGUGGGAGGAAGCUUUAUUUGUACCUUUGGACGAAUUCAAUCAAGCAUUUGUUUGCACAUGUGUGCCAUUGAUUAUCUCAAGCUUUUAGCUUUUGGUCGGUGUUAUCUUUUUCCUACUUGCUUUCCACCUUCUUUACAAGCCAUUACCGGCCUCAUCCUGUCUUGUUGAAGUCUUGCGGAUGGCCUUUUCAUCUGGACCUCAGCUCACCACGGAUAAAACACGUUAAAGGACAACCCUCAUUCUCCCCACCAUUUGAGGCCUCCACAGUGUUGUUCCGUCAGGUUCUUGAUAUUUCAUGUUAUUUUAGCUGUUCUUUUCUUCAAUUAAAGCCUGCAAAAGCUUUUCAUUCCACUCACUCCCAUAAAGAACAUGCCAUAGAAGAAGACAACAUCUCUUGCAAAGCCCACCUAAUUUUCUAUUAUUUUGCACAAAAAGUGUCCUGUCCAUCAUGUGCAGUCUUAGAUUAUAUACCCAUCAUGGCAUGCAUAAGGAGUAGGAUCUCAGGGCUUCUUCCUAAAAUCUAGAGAUAUUUGAUUGGGGAAUCAUGAGAGUGAGUGAUGGAUGUUAGAAAGGCAGAGGGAUAUUGGAAGAAGGAGAGUAGGUGUUGGGAAUGGAGGCUGGUCCAAGAUCCUCUCGUGACUGUUUUUUUUUUUUUGGUUCCUUAAUCUUUGAUCCAUUCCUAGGCUUUACUCAUGUGAGUUCAUAAGAUGUCAGUGAAGAGAUCUCGGACCAGGCUUCAUUCCUCGUACCUCACUUUUCAGUAUUUACUUAUGCUGCUAGAUUUAUGGAGCAAGAGUCACACACUUUGGAGGUAAUUACUUUUUAGACACCUUCAUUUCUAAUUACUGAUACAAGUUUUUUGGGGGCAAUUAACUUUUUUGUUGGUUUUCGACACAUAUUUGGCAUGAAGAAUGUAAGAAUCUGUUUAUACCGAAGAUCUUUAGUUGUUUCAAUUACCAUUUCAGAUGUGCUUAUGUUAUAUGUCAGGUUGUUAUCAAUUUUACUGGCGACUGUUUAGUUUUUGAUUGGUCU